This is a non-coding RNA of Homo sapiens (human), 1510 nucleotides long. The record is from the annotation of a RefSeq genome assembly. NCBI's taxonomy places the organism in Eukaryota, Metazoa, Chordata, Mammalia, Primates, Hominidae.
GAAGUCAGCCUCAUACCAAACCAUCCGUUUUUGUCAUGAAAAAUGGAACAAAUGUCGCUUGUCUGGUGAAGGAAUUCUACCCCAAGGAUAUAAGAAUAAAUCUCGUGUCAUCCAAGAAGAUAACAGAGUUUGAUCCUGCUAUUGUCAUCUCUCCCAGUGGGAAGUACAAUGCUGUCAAGCUUGGUAAAUAUGAAGAUUCAAAUUCAGUGACAUGUUCAGUUCAACACGACAAUAAAACUGUGCACUCCACUGACUUUGAAGUGAAGACAGAUUCUACAGAUCACGUAAAACCAAAGGAAACUGAAAACACAAAGCAACCUUCAAAGAGCUGCCAUAAACCCAAAGCCAUAGUUCAUACCGAGAAGGUGAACAUGAUGUCCCUCACAGUGCUUGGGCUACGAAUGCUGUUUGCAAAGACUGUUGCCGUCAAUUUUCUCUUGACUGCCAAGUUAUUUUUCUUGUAAGGCUGACUGGCAUGAGGAAGCUACACUCCUGAAGAAACCAAAGGCUUACAAAAAUGCAUCUCCUUGGCUUCUGACUUCUUUGUGAUUCAAGUUGACCUGUCAUAGCCUUGUUAAAAUGGCUGCUAGCCAAACCACUUUUUCUUCAAAGACAACAAACCCAGCUCAUCCUCCAGCUUGAUGGGAAGACAAAAGUCCUGGGGAAGGGGGGUUUAUGUCCUAACUGCUUUGUAUGCUGUUUUAUAAAGGGAUAGAAGGAUAUAAAAAGAUAUAGGACUCUUUUUUUACUCCUACAAGUGAUACACUUUGAAAAUGAUGUUUUGUUCCUUUUGACUUUCUUUACCUUUUGAAGUAGAAAGUGGGAACCAACAGGUUCACAGCUUCAUUCCUCAUGAGGCAAAUAGGCCUUGGGAGAAGAAGAGCGGGUGCCCUUUUAUCUAAACAUGGAAGGCUCUGCUCAACUGAGCACUAGAUUUGCUACAAACCAGCAUCAUCUUCUUCCUCCUGUCCUCACGGCUUGUCCCACCCUCUAUGUUCACUUCAGGAGCCACACUAGAGAUUCUGCAUGGCGUGGAGGAGGACAAAGUUUCAGCACUUUCUGCCUCUCCUAAUACUUUACAAAUGAGAUUACAUUUGAAUUUGCUAAUACUUUAUGAGCAGGCAAUGAGGUUUCCAAAAUCUCAUCUAAAUACUCUCCAAUCUAUUAGCAAAAAUCAGAGUAAAAUACAGAGGAAAGGCACUGCUUUCUGUUAAUUGAUUUAACAUGCAUGAAUUAGCUCCCUCUGAGUUCCAGGCACUAUGCUGAGAGUACAAAGAAGACACAAGUCUGCUUUCAAGCAACUCACUGUGAAAGUGUUUUUGAAGGGAGGAACAGAAAUGAGACCCCUAUCUUUCCCUAUAAAAACAACAUUUUUACUGUCUUUUGCCUGCCAAUCUGUAUUUGAAACCAUUGGACACUGAUUCUCUGGCCUGGGACUUUGGCAUUGAUGGUUUUCUGCCUUUCUUCUCAGCCUCUGCCUCUAUUGCAUUUAUUAAACUGCAUUGUGUGC